RNAcentral lists this long non-coding RNA (474 nucleotides) under Rhinopithecus bieti (black snub-nosed monkey). RNAcentral's name for it is "lncRNA (ENSRBIG00000046667.1)". Lineage: Eukaryota; Metazoa; Chordata; Mammalia; Primates; Cercopithecidae. The record is from RNAcentral.
ACUCCUGUUUUAACCAGCAUGAUUUCCAGCAGUUCUAAUACAUGUUUUUUUUUUUUUAAGAAAAAAAUUCACCCUGACAACAAACAGUUGCUUCUAUCAUUUCUGCCAUCAAAUAGUAAAGAUCUGACAGCUCUUCAGAUACAGAGAAGCAGAGCCAUUCUCCGGGGAUCCUGGAGCUCCCAGCCGAAGCUCCCUUCUGCAAAGAGGACUUUCACAUGAAGCCUGCCUGAGGACUGCUUACUUCCUGGUUAUUUUGCUAAAAGAAUGUCCGACAAAAGUAAAAGACAAAGAGGCAUUAUUUAAACUGUUCAAGGGGAAAAUCCCAGCAAUCAAUAUCGCCUACAACCCUAAUCUCUUCGAAUGGGUUAGACCAAGAAAUGUGGGAAGGAGAUCGAUUUUGAUAUGUUUUUAGUUUAGGAGCAAACCACACUUUAAUUCUACCGUGUAGAAUUUCACGUCUUACUAUUAGUUAUG